UACGAAGGGGGCUAGUGUUGUUCGGAAUCACUGGGCGUAAAGGGCGCGUAGGCGGCUUUGUAAGUCGGGGGUGAAAGCCUGUGGCUCAACCACAGAAUUGCCUUCGAUACUGCAUGGCUUGAGACCGGAAGAGGUAAGUGGAACUGCGAGUGUAGAGGUGAAAUUCGUAGAUAUUCGCAAGAACACCAGUGGCGAAGGCGGCUUACUGGUCCGGUUCUGACGCUGAGGCGCGAAAGCGUGGGGAGCAAACAGG
This 253-nucleotide ribosomal RNA is filed under the name uncultured bacterium. Its description in RNAcentral is "partial 16S ribosomal RNA". It matches the Rfam family "Bacterial small subunit ribosomal RNA", at positions 524 to 776 of the family's 1533-position model. The record is from RNAcentral.